RNAcentral lists this ribosomal RNA (253 nucleotides) under uncultured bacterium. Its description in RNAcentral is "partial 16S ribosomal RNA". It matches the Rfam family "Bacterial small subunit ribosomal RNA", at positions 524 to 776 of the family's 1533-position model. The record is from RNAcentral.
UACGUAGGGGGCAAGCGUUGUCCGGAUUUAUUGGGCGUAAAGAGCGCGUAGGCGGAAGGUUAAGCGUGGCCUGAAAGCCCCCGGCUCAACCGGGGAAGGCGGCUGCGAACUGGCCUUCUUGAGGGCGUUAGGGGAGAGCGGAAUUCCUGGUGUAGCGGUGAAAUGCGUAGAUAUCAGGAGGAACACCGAUGGCGAAGGCAGCUCUCUGGGACGACCCUGACGCUGAGGCGCGAAAGCGUGGGGAGCGAACGGG